UUUUCACCUUCAUUGAUGCAUCAACUUUUGGAAAAAAUAAACAUGCUGUAACUAAAUUUAAUGCUUUUAACCUCCAUCAUUAAUCAUCAUUCCUUUGACACGUCUUUAAUCUAUGUAGUUGCGCAUGAGAUGUGUCUAAGGGGUCUAAGGUGUAUUGAAGUGAAGAAAAACAAGUUAUAUUUUUGGGACACUUAUUUGAGGUGUCGUAUGAGUGUCAAAAUGAUGCAUGUCAGACACAACGAUUAAAUCUAACCUCAAAGAUGUAUGUACUUCAUAGUUCAUAUCCAUGUCUAUUUUGUAAUUUAGACUACUAUGGAAAUGUCGAUUUUUGUUUUUUGUGUGAUUUGUGUCACUUUGUGAUAUGGUUAGGAUUGUUAAGUGAAUGUUUUUUUUCUUCCUACUUUGUGGUUAUUUCGAUGCUUCAUUUGAAACUUAGUUAAAUUUGUUCAUCUUUGAAGGUUGCUAGUGGUUUGGAAGUUGCCACCAAGUGCCAAAUGAAAUGCUAAUAUAUUAUAUGUUGCGUCUGAAGUAGAGUGAGAGUGAAGCAUGUCAGCUGAAAACUCUUCUCCCCAUUUCCUCCAAAUGUACUUUCAUUAGUAAUAACUAGAUAUUAAUCCCCGAGUUGUGCAGUAGAAUUUAAUAUAUUAGUAAGUAUAAAAUAACAAUAAUAUAUAAUUUAAAAAUUAUGUUAAUUUUGUUUUACAGUAAAAUAUAUUCAAGUGUUUAUGUACUUAAAGG
RNAcentral lists this long non-coding RNA (738 nucleotides) under Cicer arietinum (chickpea). RNAcentral's name for it is "long non-coding RNA (CARI_LNC002598)". The record is from RNAcentral. Lineage: Eukaryota; Viridiplantae; Streptophyta; Magnoliopsida; Fabales; Fabaceae.